GUAUUUUAUUGAGUGCCUACUAUGUACCAGACACUGUUCUAGGCUCUGGAGAGAAAAAUAGUAAACAAAACAUACCAAAUCCCUGUCCUUAUAGAUCUUUACUAAGACAAUAAACAGUAAAAAAAAGAAAAUUAUAUUUAUGUUGGAUUAUAAUAAAUCAGAUGAACAAAAAAGAAGCAGGGACAAGGUACAGAAAAUGAUGGGUUCAGUGAGGUGAGUUAAAAUAUUAAAAGGUCUAACCAGGGAAGGCUUCACUGAGAAAGUGACAUUUGAGCAAAGACCUAAAUCUAAAGAUGGUCGGGGAGGUAACUUAUGUCUGUGGAGUGUUACAUGGAGAAUGAAUGAAGGGCACAAGGAGAGCAGUUAAGAGACUACUAAAAUAUUCUAGAGGAGAAAAGAGAAUGGCUUGGAUCUGUUGGUAGCAGUAGAAAUGAUAAAAAUGGAUCACAUUCUGAAUCUAUUUGAAAAAUAGUACCCAGAGGAGUUAGAUACUGGGAGUGAGAGAAAAAGGCAAGUUAAGGAUAAUUCCAAGGAUUUGGGCAUGAAGUUGCCUUUUUAAAAAUAGAUAAAGAACUCUUUUUGAGG
This 585-nucleotide long non-coding RNA is filed under the name Homo sapiens (human). RNAcentral's name for it is "HSALNT0061387". The record is from RNAcentral. Lineage: Eukaryota; Metazoa; Chordata; Mammalia; Primates; Hominidae.